UACGGAGGAUGCGAGCGUUAUCCGGAUUUAUUGGGUUUAAAGGGUGCGUAGGCGGAGUGCCAAGUCAGCGGUAAGAAUUCGGGGCUCAACCCCGUCGUGCCGUUGAAACUGGCGCCCUUGAGUGGGCGAGAAGUAUGCGGAAUGCGUGGUGUAGCGGUGAAAUGCAUAGAUAUCACGCAGAACCCCGAUUGCGAAGGCAGCAUACCGGCGCCCGACUGACGCUGAAGCACGAAAGCGUGGGUAUCGAACAGG
RNAcentral lists this ribosomal RNA (252 nucleotides) under uncultured bacterium. RNAcentral's name for it is "partial 16S ribosomal RNA". It matches the Rfam family "Bacterial small subunit ribosomal RNA", at positions 524 to 776 of the family's 1533-position model. The record is from RNAcentral.